RNAcentral lists this transfer RNA (72 nucleotides) under Bos taurus (domestic cattle). It matches the Rfam family "tRNA". Rfam says of the family: Transfer RNA (tRNA) molecules are approximately 80 nucleotides in length. Their secondary structure includes four short double-helical elements and three loops (D, anti-codon, and T loops). Further hydrogen bonds mediate the characteristic L-shaped molecular structure. tRNAs have two regions of fundamental functional importance: the anti-codon, which is responsible for specific mRNA codon recognition, and the 3' end, to which the tRNAs corresponding amino acid is attached (by aminoacyl-tRNA synthetases). tRNAs cope with the degeneracy of the genetic code in two manners: having more than one tRNA (with a specific anti-codon) for a particular amino acid; and 'wobble' base-pairing, i.e. permitting non-standard base-pairing at the 3rd anti-codon position. The record is from Rfam by way of RNAcentral. RNAcentral also lists the same sequence under 1 other name. Lineage: Eukaryota; Metazoa; Chordata; Mammalia; Artiodactyla; Bovidae.
UCUCUGGAGAUCCAGUGGUUAGGAUUUGGUGCUUUCACUGCUGAGGCCCAGGUUCAAUUCUUGGUUGGGGAA